This 519-nucleotide ribosomal RNA is filed under the name uncultured Alphaproteobacteria bacterium. Its description in RNAcentral is "bacterial SSU rRNA". It matches the Rfam family "Bacterial small subunit ribosomal RNA", at positions 523 to 1043 of the family's 1533-position model. Lineage: Bacteria; Pseudomonadati; Pseudomonadota; Alphaproteobacteria. The record is from RNAcentral.
CUACGGAGGGAUCUAGCGUUAUUCGGAAUUACUGGGCGUAAAGCGAGCGUAGGCGGAUCUGUAAGUUGGAGGUGAAAUCCCAGAGCUCAACUCUGGAAUUGCCUUCAAAACUACAUUUCUUGAGUUUGGUAGAGGAGAGUGGAAUUCCUAGUGUAGAGGUGAAAUUCGUAGAUAUUGGGAAGAACACCAGUGGCGAAAGCGACUUUCUGGCUAUUUUCUGACGCUGAGGAGCGAAAGCGUGGGGAGCAAACAGGAUUAGAUACCCUGGUAGUCCACGCCGUAAACGAUGUGUGCUAGAUGUUGGGAGGCUACCUUUCAGUGUCGCAGCUAACGCACUAAGCACACCGCCUGGGGAAGUACGGUCGCAAGAUUAAAACUCAAAGGAAUUGACGGGGACCCGCACGAGCGGUGGAGUAUGUGGUUUAAUUCGAUGCUACGCGAAGAACCUUACCAGGGUUUGACAUAGUUCCAAAACUCCUUGAAAGAGGAGCCUCCUUCGGGAUGGAACAACAGGUGUGC